RNAcentral lists this ribosomal RNA (512 nucleotides) under uncultured bacterium. RNAcentral describes it as "partial 16S ribosomal RNA". It matches the Rfam family "Bacterial small subunit ribosomal RNA", at positions 28 to 523 of the family's 1533-position model. The record is from RNAcentral.
GACGAACGCUGGCGGCAUGCCUAAUACAUGCAAGUCGAACGAGAGGAAGGAAAGCUUGCUUUUCUGAAUCUAGUGGCGAACGGGUGAGUAACACGUAGGUAACCUGCCCAUGUGCCCGGGAUAACUUCUGGAAACGGAUGCUAAAACCGGAUAGGUAGCAGACAAGCAUUUGACUGCUAUUACAGUGGCUAAGGCCAUGAACAUGGAUGGACCUGCGGUGCAUUAGCUAGUUGGUGAGGUAACGGCCCACCAAGGCGACGAUGCAUAGCCGGCCGGGGCGGGCGGUCGGCCACAUUGGGACUGAGACACGGGCCAAAGUCGUGCGGGAGGCAGCAGUAGGGAAUUUUCGUCAAUGGGGGGAACCCUGAACGAGCAAUGCCGCGUGAGUGAGGAAGGUCUUCGGAUCGUAAAGCUCUGUUGUAAGAGAAAAACGACAUUCAUAGGGAAUGAUGAGUGAGUGAUGGUAUCUUACCAGAAAGUCACGGCUAACUACGUGCCAGCAGCCGCCGCCG